UCCAGACUCCUACGGGAGGCAGCAGUGGGGGAUAUUGCACAAUGGGGGAAACCCUGAUGCAGCGACGCCGCGUGGGCGAAGAAGUAUUUCGGUAUGUAAAGCCCUAUCAGCAGGGAAGAAGAAAUGACGGUACCUGAGUAAGAAGCACCGGCUAAAUACGUGCCAGCAGCCGCGGUAAUACGUAUGGUGCAAGCGUUAUCCGGAUUUACUGGGUGUAAAGGGAGCGCAGGCGGCACGGCAAGCCUGAUGUGAAAGCCCGUGGCCCAACCGCGGGACUGCAUUGGGAACUACCGGGCUGGAGUGCCGGAGAGGUAGGCGGAAUUCCUAGUGUAGCGGUGAAAUGCGUAGAUAUUAGGAGGAACACCGGUGGCGAAGGCGGCUUACUGGACAAUAACUGACGUUGAGGCUCGAAAGCGUGGGGAGCAAACAGGAUUAGAUACCCCUGUA
This 447-nucleotide ribosomal RNA is filed under the name uncultured bacterium. RNAcentral describes it as "bacterial SSU rRNA". It matches the Rfam family "Bacterial small subunit ribosomal RNA", at positions 330 to 792 of the family's 1533-position model. The record is from RNAcentral.